RNAcentral lists this transfer RNA (67 nucleotides) under Chinapotamon maolanense. Its description in RNAcentral is "tRNA-Glu". Lineage: Eukaryota; Metazoa; Arthropoda; Malacostraca; Decapoda; Potamidae. The record is from RNAcentral.
GUUUUUAUAGUGUAAUACCAACAUCUUACUUUUUCAUUGUAAAGCUGAAAUAAUAUUUCUAAAAACA